This is an RNA transcript of Anguilla rostrata (American eel), 1002 nucleotides long. It is a transcript of the gene named NADH:ubiquinone oxidoreductase subunit A11, with no coding region annotated. The transcript is spliced from 5 exons. The record is from RefSeq and is a predicted model, not a curated record. NCBI's taxonomy places the organism in Eukaryota, Metazoa, Chordata, Actinopteri, Anguilliformes, Anguillidae.
CUUUUGUAACACUUACUAAUAAAGUUUUAAGACCACUCAGGUCUCGUACGAUCUCGCGGUAUUUCCCUGUGCUGCAGAUGCCCUUGUUAGAUUCAAGAUGGGUUACUGGGAUCUCGAAGAAGGGAGAGACUGCGUAGGGAAAACAUGGAUCACCACAAAGUUAGGCACAGCGCUGGGGCUUGUGGGCUCCGCCUACCACAUUGUCGCGUUCCAGCCUGACUCCGCCCUCCAGGCUGUACAGAGAGCCACUGCAGGCACAGUCACCAUGGCCAGUCUGGGGGCGAUUUUUGGGAUGGCCACCUGUCUGAGUGCACAGGCCCGUGACGCCCCCGAUGACCCCCUCAACUACUUCAUCGGCGGCUGCGCCUCGGGAGUCUUCCUUGGAGCCCGCAGUCACAGCGCCAUGACUGGUUUCGGCGCAUGCAUGGGCCUCGGGACGGUCGCCAUGUUCACCAAGGUGGGCAAGAUGGAGGGGUGGAACAUCUUCAGUCCGCCCAAAAUGUGACCCGCCUGGACACAUCCCGCCCCGCCCCGGUGUGAUGUCAUGUACAUUUCUUCUUUUUUUUGUCCUGAAUAAAUGUUAAUCAGGUUUAUUCUUCCCAUCAAUAAGUGCUGCAGUUUGACAACCUGCCUGAUGGGGGCGAAGUUUUACCACACUGUGAUCGACGCGCAAGACCUGGCACAAACAAGCAGGCCGUUGGCAGGAUCACACGGAGGAAAUGGUGGAGCUAAUUACAGGUGAAGACAGGAAAUGGUCUGUUUGCAGAAAUGUCACGCAGCUGCACAUGCUAGCGUCCAUGUGGAAACAUGUUUAGAGGAAUGUAGCCGUUCCAACACUUUAAUCUGGGGGAAUAAAAAAACAACGAAGGUUAAAAAACACAAAAAUAUGUUCCUGCACCUAAGUCAAUGAAUAAAGUAGACAAUUUGGUUCCAAUAUAAAUGUUUGUUCACAUUUUCUGAUGUUUUGAGCCCUGUUAAAAGGCUGGGAUCAUUGGAAACUGC